AGCUGGAUUUCUAAUUAUGGUGGUUAUCAUGGCACGAAAAGAGCCAGUCUUCUCCUGACUUAAAUAUCCACAGCUGUUACAAGUCUACAGGAAGCUUUCUUCAUAGACACUGAUUAAAGUCUCCUGCUUGCUU
Molecule: long non-coding RNA, 133 nt
Organism: Pantherophis guttatus
Lineage: Eukaryota; Metazoa; Chordata; Lepidosauria; Squamata; Colubridae
Source: RefSeq, a predicted model, not a curated record